UCUAAGAUUGAUAGUGUUUUCCUUUUUCUUUUUUUUUUUUGCAAUAUGACUUAGUUUGCUUUUGAUGUCUUUGGCGUCUUCUUAAUACUUAUGAUUUUGUUUUUUUAAAGCAUUUUCAAGACUUUGUUAUCACCAUAUACUUUAUGUAGCUCAUGUUACAAUCAAUUGUUGUAACAUUGACCAACUUUUUGUGCUUUAGUGUUGACUUGUCCCUUUCUCUUCUCGAGAUAAAUAGUUCAUCCUUUAUCUUGUUGAUGCUCAU
This 262-nucleotide long non-coding RNA is filed under the name Vigna radiata. Its description in RNAcentral is "long non-coding RNA (VRAD_LNC014984)". Lineage: Eukaryota; Viridiplantae; Streptophyta; Magnoliopsida; Fabales; Fabaceae. The record is from RNAcentral.